GACGAACGCUGGCGGCGUGCCUAAUACAUGCAAGUCGAACGGAAAGGCCCUGCUCUUGUGGGUCGCUCGAUUGCCGAACGGGUGUGUAACACGUGAGUAUCCUGCCCUUGACUUUGGGAUAACUUCUGGAAACUCGGGCUCAUAUCCGAUAUGAUCUCCUGCUGCAUGUUGGUGGAUGGAAAGUUUCGGCGGUUGGGGAUGGACUCGCGGCUUACCCGCUUGUUGGUGGGGUAGUGGCUUACCAAGGCUUUGACGGGUAGCCGGCCUGAGAGGGUGACCGGCCACAAUGGGACUGAGAGACGGCCCAGACUGGUACGGGAGGCAGUAGGGGAGAAUAUUGCACAGUGAGCGGGAGUCUGAGGCAGAAACGCCGGGAGCGGGAUGACGGCCUACGGGUUGUAAACAGAUGUCGCCGGUGACGAAGAGUGAGUGACGGUAAUGGGUAAAGAAGCACCGGCUAACUACGUG
RNAcentral lists this ribosomal RNA (468 nucleotides) under uncultured bacterium. Its description in RNAcentral is "partial 16S ribosomal RNA". It matches the Rfam family "Bacterial small subunit ribosomal RNA", at positions 28 to 507 of the family's 1533-position model. The record is from RNAcentral.